AUGAAGUGCUGCAGCUAGCGCAAAGUUGGAAGAGCCCACCUGCCAUCCCAUUUCCAGAAUAUCAUGAACGUCAGGACGCGCAGUGCGUGGGGAUUCCUAGGAUUACCCAGCGUACCCCGCGGGUAAAGAUGGCGAUAGAUGAAGAGGGUAGGAGAUCAACUUUGGCCGGGAACAACCAUAGCUGAAUUUCGGUUUUUAUAGAGAAUAAACCGUUAGUUAUCGGUUGUGUAAUUGCUUAAUGGUUAGGCACUUAUAUCAUUGUCAUUCGUGAGUCUACGCAACGUGAUCGAAUAAUUACAGCGCAUGAGCUUCCUUCCUUGCAACCAAACUGCAGACAGCGUCCGUCCUAAGAAGAGCGGAUAAAGUUUAUUACGGAUCUGACUCAGCCCUCUGACACUGAUUUAAAUUUUUUUUUAUUUGGGGUAACUAUAACAGCAGACAUUAAACAGGUUAUCAGUAGCCCAGAGGUUCACAUGCCAAGAAAGCGAGGAGGAGGACAAGGAGGAGGAGGGGCAGGAAGAGGAGCCAGAGGGGACACACCCAGGGCGAUCAGUCUGGAACACGUAGCAUACGCUCCUAAAGAAUGCCUGUGACUUAAGAACCUGUGGAUGAGGACAUCGCUGGAAUACCUCAGAAUUUGGGAAUAACCGACCGG
RNAcentral lists this long non-coding RNA (655 nucleotides) under Salmo trutta (river trout). Its description in RNAcentral is "lncRNA (ENSSTUG00000014870.1)". The record is from RNAcentral. Lineage: Eukaryota; Metazoa; Chordata; Actinopteri; Salmoniformes; Salmonidae.